GACGAACGCUGGCGGCGUGCCUAAUACAUGCAAGUUGAGCGCUGAAGGUUGGUACUUGUACCGACUGGAUGAGCAGCGAACGGGUGAGUAACGCGUGGGGAAUCUGCCUUUGAGCGGGGGACAACAUUUGGAAACGAAUGCUAAUACCGCAUAAAAACUUUAAACACAAGUUUUAAGUUUGAAAGAUGCAAUUGCAUCACUCAAAGAUGAUCCCGCGUUGUAUUAGCUAGUUGGUGAGGUAAAGGCUCACCAAGGCGAUGAUACAUAGCCGGCCUGAGAGGGUGAUCGGCCACAUUGGGACUGAGACACGGCCCAAACUCCUACGGGAGGCAGCAGUAGGGAAUCUUCGGCAAUGGACGAAAGGCUGACCGAGCAACGCCGCGUGAGUGAAGAAGGGUUUCGGAUCGUAAAACUCUGUUGGUAGAGAAGAACGUUGGUGGGAGUGGAAAGCGCAUCAAGUGACGGUAACUACCCAGAAAGGGACGGCUAACUACGUG
This 497-nucleotide ribosomal RNA is filed under the name uncultured bacterium. Its description in RNAcentral is "partial 16S ribosomal RNA". It matches the Rfam family "Bacterial small subunit ribosomal RNA", at positions 28 to 507 of the family's 1533-position model. The record is from RNAcentral.